Prionailurus viverrinus (fishing cat) is the source of this 1207-nucleotide long non-coding RNA. RefSeq lists it as uncharacterized. The record is from RefSeq and is a predicted model, not a curated record. Lineage: Eukaryota; Metazoa; Chordata; Mammalia; Carnivora; Felidae. The transcript is spliced from 3 exons.
UCCGUGCUGUCAUUGUGGAACCUGAUGUGGGGCUCCAUUCCAGAAACCACGAGAUCAUGACCUGAGCUGAAACCAAAAGUCGGACAUUCAACCAAGUGAGCCACCCAGGUGCCUCCUGGGCCCUGUCUUUCUGAAGGCAGGACCCAGAAUCACAAAGGUAACUCAUCGUAUGAAGAAGGUGGGCUUCCCAGAGAGUCCUAGAGGUGCAGAUACUGUGGGUUCUAGGUGAUGAGGCCCGUGCCCUCAGGAAUUCAGACCCACCAGCUCCCAGGAGCCAGGUGGCCCUCCCGUGGUGGCUCCCUUCCCCGGGGACACCCACACUCCCCACCAUCUUAGGGGGAAGACUGAGGAGAAGGGUCCUCGAAACUGCUUCGGAAAGAAAGAACGCUAAGGGUUUCCACACAGAGGUAUCAUUUUUAGUUUGUGGCAGAAUGACUGGAAGGAGGUGUGAGGGCCCAGGAUUUGGGGGUAAGGGGAGGCAAAGGCAGGAAGUUAUUCCACAAGCUGGGAAAGUAUGGGGGGGAUGAAAUUGGCUUCCAGAGCUGCCCCCCACGCCACCCCACAAAAGCACCAUAAUGGCAGUAGAGACUUGACUCUGGAUGGAGCCAUUCUUGACUCAGUUCACUUCCCAACAGCACUAGGUAGAGGGGCCUUGGAGGGGCUCGGGUGAAUCUGCCCGGGGGGUUCGUGACAAGCUGCAGAUGUCACAUCCCUUGCUUCAGGCUGAAGAGAGUGAGGAGCAAGAUGAGGGAGACCAGAAGAGGGGCGACUCUUUGAUUCAGGACCAGAAGGAGGAGAAGGGAAGGAGAUAGCGUGUUGGCAGUUGCCCAAAACCCGGGUCUGAAAAACCAGGACGGCGGUUUCCAGGACCAUCCAUUUUCAGCAUUUUGAGCAGGCUGGCUUUGACCCUUAGUACACGGUUCCCUGAUGCUCUUUGAGGCACGUGUCUGUCCUUUCAAAGGAUCUGCGUCUUUCUCACCGACUGCUACCCCUGCUUUGGAGCCACUGGGAUGAAACGAAGAUAAGGAAUGUGGCAACCAGCACCCGGAAUCCUAAUAAAAGAGCAAGCCAAGCUACGCUGGUGAGAAUGGGAACUAAAAAAUAACAUCCAAAAUCUAAGAAAAAGAGGCGCCUGGGUGGCUCAAGUCAGUUCAGCGUCCGGCUUCAGCUCAGGUCAUGAUCUCAUGGCUCGUCUGUUCGAGCCCCG